GAGGGUAUAGCUCAGUGGUAGAGCAUUUGACUGCAGAUCAAGAGGUCUCUGGUUCAAAUCCAGUUUCCCCUUUCUCA
Non-coding RNA from Phyllopteryx taeniolatus (common seadragon), 77 nucleotides. The record is from the annotation of a RefSeq genome assembly. NCBI's taxonomy places the organism in Eukaryota, Metazoa, Chordata, Actinopteri, Syngnathiformes, Syngnathidae.